RNAcentral lists this ribosomal RNA (1331 nucleotides) under uncultured prokaryote. Its description in RNAcentral is "partial 16S ribosomal RNA". It matches the Rfam family "Bacterial small subunit ribosomal RNA", at positions 29 to 1341 of the family's 1533-position model. The record is from RNAcentral.
ACAAUCACGCUGGCGGCGUGCCUAACACAUGCAAGUCGAACGCGAAAGUGGCUUCGGUCAUGAGUAGAGUGGCAAACGGGUGAGUAACACGUGGGUGACCUGCCUUCGAGUGGGGGACAACGUCCCGAAAGGGACGCUAAUACCGCAUGACAUCCCGCCUUUGGAUAGGUGGUGAUUAAAGCUGGGACCGCAAGGCCUGGCGCUUGAAGAGGGGCCCGCGCCCGAUUAGCUAGUUGGUGGGGUAACGGCUCACCAAGGCUUCGAUCGGUAGCCGGCCUGAGAGGGCGGACGGCCACACUGGGACUGAGACACGGCCCAGACUCCUACGGGAGGCAGCAGUGGGGAAUUGUUCGCAAUGGGCGAAAGCCUGACGACGCAACGCCGCGUGGAGGACGAAGAUCUUCGGGUUGUAAACUCCUGUCGAGCGGGAAGAACAGUGCGCGGGUUAAUACCCCGUGCGCCUGACGGUACCGCUAAAGGAAGCCCCGGCUAACUCCGUGCCAGCAGCCGCGGUAAUACGGGGGGGCAAGCGUUGUUCGGAUUUACUGGGCGUAAAGGGCUCGUAGGCGGCUAGCCAAGUCGGACGUGAAAUCCCCAGGCUUAACCUGGGAACUGCGUCCGAUACUGGUUGGCUUGAAGCCGGGAGAGGGAUGCGGAAUUCCAGGUGUAGCGGUGAAAUGCGUAGAUAUCUGGAGGAACACCGGUGGCGAAGGCGGCAUCCUGGACCGGUCUUGACGCUGAGGAGCGAAAGCUAGGGGAGCAAACGGGAUUAGAUACCCCGGUAGUCCUAGCCCUAAACGAUGAAUGCUUGGUGUGGCGGGUAUCGAUCCCUGCCGUGCCGGAGCUAACGCAUUAAGCAUUCCGCCUGGGGAGUACGGUCGCAGUUAAAACUCAAAGGAAUUGACGGGGACCCGCACAAGCGGUGGAUGAUGUGGAUUAAUUCGAUGCAACGCGAAAAACCUUACCUACCCUUGACAUGCCAGGAACUUGCCAGAGAUGGCUUGGUGCCCGAAAGGGAGCCUGGACACAGGUGCUGCAUGGCUGUCGUCAGCUCGUGUCGUGAGAUGUUGGGUUAAGUCCCGCAACGAGCGCAACCCUUGCCAUUAGUUGCUACAUUCAGUUGGGCACUCUAAUGGGACCGCCGGUGACAAACCGGAGGAAGGUGGGGAUGACGUCAAGUCCUCAUGGCCCUUAUGGGUAGGGCUUCACACGUAAUACAAUGGCCGGUACAAAGGGCUGCCAACCCGCGAGGGGGAGCAAAUCCCAGAAAGCGCGUCGUAGUCCGGAUUGUUCUCUGCAACUCGAGAGCAUGAAGUCGGAAUCGCUAGUAA